AUGCAAGUCGAGCGGACCGACGGGAGCUUGCUCCCUUAGGUCAGCGGCGGACGGGUGAGUAACACGUGGGUAACCUGCCUGUAAGACUGGGAUAACUCCGGGAAACCGGGGCUAAUACCGGAUGCUUGAUUGAACCGCAUGGUUCAAUCAUAAAAGGUGGCUUUUAGCUACCACUURCAGAUGGACCCGCGGCGCAUUAGCUAGUUGGUGAGGUAACGGCUCACCAAGGCGACGAUGCGUAGCCGACCUGAGAGGGUGAUCGGCCACACUGGGACUGAGACACGGCCCAGACUCCUACGGGAGGCAGCAGUAGGGAAUCUUCCGCAAUGGACGAAAGUCUGACGGAGCAACGCCGCGUGAGUGAUGAAGGUUUUCGGAUCGUAAAACUCUGUUGUUAGGGAAGAACAAGUACCGUUCGAAUAGGGCGGYACCUUGACGGUACCUAACCAGAAAGCCACGGCUAACUACGUGCCAGCAGCCGCGGUAAUACGUAGGUGGCAAGCGUUGUCCGGAAUUAUUGGGCGUAAAGCGCGCGCAGGCGGUUUCUUAAGUCUGAUGUGAAAGCCCCCGGCUCAACCGGGGAGGGUCAUUGGAAACUGGGGAACUUGAGUGCAGAAGAGGAGAGUGGAAUUCCACGUGUAGCGGUGAAAUGCGUAGAGAUGUGGAGGAACACCAGUGGCGAAGGCGACUCUCUGGUCUGUAACUGACGCUGAGGCGCGAAAGCGUGGGGAGCGAACAGGAUUAGAUACCCUGGUAGUCCACGCCGUAAACGAUGAGUGCUAAGUGUUAGAGGGUUUCCGCCCUUUAGUGCUGCAGCAAACGCAUUAAGCACUCCGCCUGGGGAGUACGGUCGCAAGACUGAAACUCAAAGGAAUUGACGGGGGCCCGCACAAGCGGUGGAGCAUGUGGUUUAAUUCGAAGCAACGCGAAGAACCUUACCAGGUCUUGACAUCCUCUGACAACCCUAGAGAUAGGGCUUCCCCUUCGGGGGCAGAGUGACAGGUGGUGCAUGGUUGUCGUCAGCUCGUGUCGUGAGAUGUUGGGUUAAGUCCCGCAACGAGCGCAACCCUUGAUCUUAGUUGCCAGCAUUCAGUUGGGCACUCUAAGGUGACUGCCGGUGACAAACCGGAGGAAGGUGGGGAUGACGUCAAAUCAUCAUGCCCCUUAUGACCUGGGCUACACACGUGCUACAAUGGGCAGAACAAAGGGCAGCGAAGCCGCGAGGCUAAGCCAAUCCCACAAAUCUGUUCUCAGUUCGGAUCGCAGUCUGCAACUCGACUGCGUGAAGCUGGAAUCGCUAGUAAUCGCGGAUCAG
RNAcentral lists this ribosomal RNA (1315 nucleotides) under Bacillus sp. FPZSP228. RNAcentral describes it as "bacterial SSU rRNA". It matches the Rfam family "Bacterial small subunit ribosomal RNA", at positions 55 to 1352 of the family's 1533-position model. The record is from RNAcentral. Lineage: Bacteria; Bacillati; Bacillota; Bacilli; Caryophanales; Bacillaceae.